UUGGCUAAGUAAGGGAAAGGCUUAAGAACUGACAUUACUCUCUGAGAGAAGGGAUAACUAUCAAGUGCACUUUUAUUUGCUGUGAAAUAAAUUAGACACACCAAGCAGUAGCAUUUACAGAGAAUUCUGCCUGGUCCUGCAACAGCUAUGAAACCCAAGACAACUGGAAAAGCAAAAUCUGCUUAGUGUGUGUUGAAGGGACUGCUCCAAGCUGCUGUCUCUGAUGGGUCAGCCUUUCCCUGCCACAAGCUGUGCCAAGAGCUGACAGUGCACUGUGAAGGUUGGUGUGGCUGAGGAGCUUUAUCUACAGCUGUGAAUACAACCUAGCUGACUGAAGUAACAGCAGUGACGUCCGAAGGCUUGUGUUUCAUCCUCCCAGAAGAGGUGCUUUGGUGAUCAGGAGCUUGCCAACAGGCUGUCUUGCUCUGAAGGGGGCUCCUCACCACACAAUGGGACAUGUGACUAGGCAGAAAGCCUGGGGAGAAAUCUCACUCUUGGAUUAAAGGGAAAAGCGAUUUUCACAGUUUCCAGGAAUUAAUGGUGAAUGGUAAGAUCAGGGACUCCUCCAUGGAGCUGCAGGAAGGCGCUUGAGGCUCGGAGCAGAAGCACUGGCGUGUUUGGGCUGACAUCUAGUGUCGGCGCCUUUCCUCCCAGCGCGUCUGCGGCGGCCUGAAAGGAAGAACGAAGAGGACUUUCCUUGGGAUUAGUACUUUUAAUCUGGUCAGAUGCCUGAGCCAUAAACCCGCGAAUAUUUUUUCUCCCUUAAAGACCGAAUUAAAUAAUCAUAGAACACUCAAAAGUGGAAAUAAAUAUUGCUAAGGAAACUUCUCUGCCCUAGAU
This 840-nucleotide long non-coding RNA is filed under the name Cyanistes caeruleus (blue tit). RNAcentral's name for it is "lncRNA (ENSCCEG00000002339.1)". The record is from RNAcentral. Lineage: Eukaryota; Metazoa; Chordata; Aves; Passeriformes; Paridae.